GAUAGACCGUAACUUGCACAGAUUGACAGUGUAAGUAGCGGCAGGAAAAGGGCAAAAUGAUCGGGAAAAGACAGAACAUAAGAUCCCUGCACCGAAAGAAUGGGGGGUGAAUAGGUUAUUACAUUAAUAAAAGUGGGUCCAAUCUCUUCUUUUACCAAUUCAAGGAAGAGAGAGAGAGAGAGAGAAGUGGGGUCACACUCACACUCUUAGCUGCUAAACCAGCUGAGCUGUGUCUUCUUCAUUCAUAUUCCCUCUUUGUUUUAACCAAAAAGAAAAGAUCUGUACUAUUUCAUCUAUCUGUAUUGGAACCAACUGCUCUCUGCUUCUCUCCUUUUUCUUCAAUCUCGUAUCUGUUUCCUGGACGGGCAAAUAAAGAAGAAAAGAGAAAGUAUAGAUAGGUGACCAUUCGUUUCUCUGAUUUCACUUCAACAAAAGUUCUUUCUUUGAGAUCUAUAUCUGCUGGUACUUUCUUUUUCUUUCUUGCCCAGUUUUAUGGACCCCAAUUUCAAGAUUUUUAACUUUUCUGUUAGUUAUAAUUCGCUUUUUUCUUUUGGGUAGUAAUGGGUUUUGUUCCUUCUUUGCUUAAUACAUCACUGCGUUCUGUCGGUGGAUGUGUUAUUAUAAUUGUUAUUUGGGAAUUCUUUGUUUGUUUGCUGAGAAAAUGUGGGAAAUGUGUAAAUAUGGAAACUUUAUCACUUAACUGUUUUCAGUUCAUGGUAAACUCUAAAUGGUAAUACAAUCACUUUGAUUACUUCGAUAAACAAUUGGGACAAACCAAAACUGAUUGGCUUAGUUAUUUCUUUUUUGUUUUUAUUUUUCCCGCUUGUAGUUGUUCAAUUCUUUUCCUUUUUGGUCACUUUAUCGUGUUAUCUCAAUUCUCUUUUUCACUUAUUUAGAUAUUUCCAGGAAAUUUGCUGCUGUGUACAAUUGUUUCUGUUGCAAUUGAUAAUCCUUGUUAAUUUAUGCUGGUUUGAUUUGGCUUAUAUUUAUCAAAUUUACGUGAUCUAGUGAAAUUAAAAUCCCAAAUUUGAUAUCUUGAUUAGGGAAUGCUANN
RNAcentral lists this long non-coding RNA (1054 nucleotides) under Ricinus communis (castor bean). RNAcentral's name for it is "long non-coding RNA (RCOM_LNC001861)". Lineage: Eukaryota; Viridiplantae; Streptophyta; Magnoliopsida; Malpighiales; Euphorbiaceae. The record is from RNAcentral.